Long non-coding RNA from Amblyraja radiata (thorny skate), 312 nucleotides. RefSeq lists it as uncharacterized. The record is from RefSeq and is a predicted model, not a curated record. The transcript is spliced from 3 exons. NCBI's taxonomy places the organism in Eukaryota, Metazoa, Chordata, Chondrichthyes, Rajiformes, Rajidae.
CAGCUAAAGACACACCCACUAAAAUCGGAGAGAUGAAAAUCGGAGAUGCACAGGAGACCAGAUUGGAAGAGCAAUGAGAUCUCAGAGGGCUCGAAGGCUGGAAGAGGUUAAAGAGAUAAGAAGAGGACACAUGACAAUAAAACACUCUUGACUCUUGGACUGCUCCAGUAACGAGGCCUCAGAUCCACGUAGGUACAAAAUGUAACCUGAGGGUACAGCGCAGGAGCUUGAUCACCUCGACACAGUGGGCCCAAACGCCACCAUCUACGCGAGUCAAAAUCGUCCCGUCAACGGAGGGCUCAAGGCCCCCGA